RNAcentral lists this long non-coding RNA (596 nucleotides) under Triticum aestivum (bread wheat). RNAcentral's name for it is "long non-coding RNA (TAES_LNC007513)". Lineage: Eukaryota; Viridiplantae; Streptophyta; Magnoliopsida; Poales; Poaceae. The record is from RNAcentral.
CUUUUUGUCCGGUCGUUUUACCAUCGUCGGCUUUGUACGGCGUUCUCGAUGCGUAAGAGUUGUUGCCGUUGCUGGUGCCAGGGGUCGACGUCGACGACGCUUUACCUGCUUUAUGAAGCACACGAAUGCAUGCAAAAGGCGUCAAGAAAGUGCAAGAAAGCAUUAGAGACCAUGACCGUCGAAUAUAUAGAAAGGUAUACUACCAGAAAGGCGAGGAUCUGAUAAAGGGAGAGCUAUCCAUGCAUGCACAUACAUAUGCUCAGGCGUUAAUGGGAUGAGUGACACUCACUAACCUGUAGCAGGCGCCGGCGCCUUUGGGCCAGCCUCCGCCGGAGCAUAUGGACGUCGAUCAUUAUACUGGUCGGUAGACCCUGGCAGUUGAGGCACAGAUCUACUUGGUCCUGCAUAUAUGGAUGUAUGGAGAAAAUAAUAGCAUAUUAGAGUUGAUGCUGAUCGUGCAUGUGUAUGCAAUGGACGAAUUGGAUAUGUGGAUGCUGGCUCACCCUUCGCCGCCAUGCUCACUUGCUCAGUACGGGGGGCCUUUGUGGCUGCUUGUCUUCUCUUCAGCUAGCUAGCUUUGGGAGAGUUUGUUGCUA